AUUGAACGCUGGCGGCAGGCCUAACACAUGCAAGUCGAACGGUAGCACAGAGAGCUUGCUCUCGGGUGACGAGUGGCGGACGGGUGAGUAAUGUCUGGGAAACUGCCCGAUGGAGGGGGAUAACUACUGGAAACGGUAGCUAAUACCGCAUAACGUCGCAAGACCAAAGUAGGGGACCUUCGGCCUCACACCAUCGGAUGUGCCCAGAUGGGAUUAGCUAGUAGGUGGGGUAAUGGCUCACCUAGGCGACGAUCCCUAGCUGGUCUGAGAGGAUGACCAGCCACACUGGAACUGAGACACGGUCCAGACUCCUACGGGAGGCAGCAGUGGGGAAUAUUGCACAAUGGGCGCAAGCCUGAUGCAGCCAUGCCGCGUGUAUGAAGAAGGCCUUCGGGUUGUAAAGUACUUUCAGCGGGGAGGAAGGCGGUGAAGUUAAUAGCUUCACCGAUUGACGUUACCCGCAGAAGAAGCGCCGGCUAACUCCGUGCCAGCAGCCGCGGUAA
This 503-nucleotide ribosomal RNA is filed under the name uncultured bacterium. RNAcentral describes it as "partial 16S ribosomal RNA". It matches the Rfam family "Bacterial small subunit ribosomal RNA", at positions 30 to 523 of the family's 1533-position model. The record is from RNAcentral.